CAGUCGCCACGGUAAUACGUAGGUGGCAAGCGUUGUCCAGAAUUAUUGGGCGUAAAGGGCUCGCAGGCGGUUUCUUAAGUCUGAUGUGAAAGCCCCCGGCUCAACCGGGGAGGGUCAUUGGAAACUGGGAAACUUGAGUGCAGAAGAGGAGAGUGGAAUUCCACGUGUAGCGGUGAAAUGCGUAGAGAUGUGGAGGAACACCAGUGGCGAAGGCGACUCUCUGGUCUGUAACUGACGCUGAGGAGCGAAAGCGUGGGGAGCGAACAGGAUUAGAUACCCCCGUAGUCCCUGUCUCUUAUAC
RNAcentral lists this ribosomal RNA (301 nucleotides) under uncultured bacterium. Its description in RNAcentral is "partial 16S ribosomal RNA". It matches the Rfam family "Bacterial small subunit ribosomal RNA", at positions 509 to 807 of the family's 1533-position model. The record is from RNAcentral.